CAUGUUUGACAAAUCUGUGGGCCUGAUUUACGAAGAUCACAAAUAAUGGACACAAAUUUACUUGCUCGAGCUAAAAAAUGCAUGUGCUAUUAAUUUGCGUGUCACAGGUGAUCUACUCAGAUUUCCUGCACAAAUGUCAACAGGUCAAAGUCUUGGAGACCGCCCUAUUUAAAUGAGGAGUUUGCACGUGCUACUGGUUGUCGUCAUGGAGACAGUACACUGUAAAGAGUGCUCUGGGAUACACCAGCACUAAUGGGAACAGUGAGUGGAAUGAUCCAGAUGUAAAUGUACUGUAGGAGGAGUUUAGUCAUAGAAGGUACUCAUGACUCCUGUGACUGGACCCAGAUCAGCCCCUCAUUCAUGUAGAAGUUCUGCAAUGGCAUUGUGGGUAGG
Molecule: long non-coding RNA, 393 nt
Organism: Sphaeramia orbicularis (orbiculate cardinalfish)
Lineage: Eukaryota; Metazoa; Chordata; Actinopteri; Kurtiformes; Apogonidae
Exons: 3
Source: RefSeq, a predicted model, not a curated record